UUAUCAUGUCAUCUGAGAAUGUCUCUUCAAGGAUCACUAGAUGUUUAGAAAAGGCGCGGAGGAAUUUUUGUUGAAGGCGGUGAGGUUAUCGGAUUUGAGUAAACUUAGGCCCCAUAUGUUAAAAACCAAAUUAAGGGAUCAUAAUCAGAAACAAGA
This is a long non-coding RNA of Hibiscus syriacus, 156 nucleotides long. RefSeq lists it as uncharacterized. NCBI's taxonomy places the organism in Eukaryota, Viridiplantae, Streptophyta, Magnoliopsida, Malvales, Malvaceae. The transcript has 2 exons. The record is from RefSeq and is a predicted model, not a curated record.